ACUCCUACGGGAGGCAGCAGUAAGGAAUAUUGGACAAUGGAGGCAACUCUGAUCCAGCCAUCCCGCGUGUAGGAAGACUGCCCUAUGGGUUGUAAACUACUUUUAGAUAGGAAGAACGGCCGAGAUUUACUCUUGGUGUGACGGUACUAUCAGAAUAAGCACCGGCUAACUCCGUGCCAGCAGCCGCGGUAAUACGGAGGGGUGCAAGCGUUAUCCGGAAUCACUGGGUUUAAAGGGUGCGUAGGCGGCCUGGUAAGUCAGAGGUGAAAUGCACGAGCUUAACUGGUGAAUUGCCUUUGAAACUAUCAAGCUAGAAUUAUGUUGAGGUCAGCGGAAUGAGUCAUGUAGCGGUGAAAUGCAUAGAUAUGACUUAGAACACCAAUUGCGUAGGCAGCUGGCUGGGCAUAUAUUGACGCUGAGGCACGAAAGCGUGGGGAGCGAACAGGAUUAGAUACCCUGGUAGACUGUCA
Molecule: ribosomal RNA, 470 nt
Filed under: uncultured bacterium
Lineage: Bacteria
Description: bacterial SSU rRNA
Rfam family: Bacterial small subunit ribosomal RNA
Source: RNAcentral